RNAcentral lists this ribosomal RNA (727 nucleotides) under Clavulina aff. amazonensis G3192. RNAcentral describes it as "eukaryotic LSU rRNA". It matches the Rfam family "Eukaryotic large subunit ribosomal RNA", at positions 166 to 889 of the family's 3401-position model. The record is from RNAcentral. Lineage: Eukaryota; Fungi; Basidiomycota; Agaricomycetes; Cantharellales; Hydnaceae.
CGUGCUGGACUGYGUGCAAGUUUCCUGGAUACGGAACAUCAUAGAGGGUGAGAAUCCCGUCCUUCACACAGACUGCCAGUGCUUUGUGAUGCGCUCUCGACGAGUCGAGUUGUUUGGGAUUGCAGCUCAAAAUGGGAGGUAAAUUCCUUCUAAAGCUAAAUAUUGGCGAGAGACCGAUAGCGAACAAGUACCGUGAGGGAAAGAUGAAAAGCACUUUGGAAAGAGAGUUAAACAGUACGUGAAAUUGUUAAAAGGGAAACGCUUGAAGUCAGUCAUGUUUGCUUGGACUCAGCCUUACCUCGGUUUGGUGCAUUUCCUUGCAGACGGGCCAGCGUUCAUGUUGUUUGCCAGAGAAGGAGCGAGAGAAUGUGACUCCUUUGGGAGUGUUAUAGCUCUCACUCGCAUGUGGGGAACAAUAUGAAGUGGUACAGCACGCUUUGGCGGUGCUUGUGUUGGCAUAAUGGCUUUAAACGACCCGUCUUGAAACACGGACCAAGGAGUCUAACAUGUCUGCGAGUGUUUGGGUGGAAAACCCGAGCGCGCAAUGAAAGUGAUGGCUGGGAAUCCCUUUUUUGGGAGGCACCGGUGCCCCCGAGCUGACCUUCUGUGACGCAWCGGGAGGCAGAGCAUAUAUCUUUGGGACCCCGAAAGAUGGUGGAACUAUGCCCUGAAUAGGGGCGAAGCCAGGAGGAAACUCUUGGUGGAAGGCUCCGUAACCGAUUCUUGA